Molecule: transfer RNA, 63 nt
Filed under: Cydia pomonella (codling moth)
Lineage: Eukaryota; Metazoa; Arthropoda; Insecta; Lepidoptera; Tortricidae
Also listed under: 3 other names
Description: tRNA-Ile
Source: RNAcentral
AAUAAAGUGCCUGAAAAAGGAUUAUUCUGAUAGGAUAAAUUAUGUAGAAUUCUACCUUUAUUA